Molecule: ribosomal RNA, 2515 nt
Filed under: Lacticaseibacillus paracasei
Lineage: Bacteria; Bacillati; Bacillota; Bacilli; Lactobacillales; Lactobacillaceae
Description: Lactobacillus paracasei 23S ribosomal RNA
Source: RNAcentral
UGAUUUUGUUUGUCAUUGGGUUGAGCGUGGUCGUUUCUGGUGCCAUGGCAAUUAGCGCUGUUGGGUUGGUACUCGGUAUCAUUUUUGUGGCCUUGGUGGGUCUCAGUAUCAUGAUUCCAUGCUUAUUGCUGGUGAUUCGCUUUAUGACUUUCCGAACAGUGAAUGUUCGUUUUCAACAUCAUGGUGAACGGGUGGUAUUGCCGGUGACGGUCAAGUUGACGGGACGGACGAUUUACCACGCGAUUUAUGAAAAUUUCCGUGCGGGUCGACGGCGCGGGCGGCAUCUUUUAUCAGCCUGGGGGUUUGGGUUUGAGACUUACUUCCACGAAGACUUGCAGGCGUAUCUUGCUGAUCAGAUUCUUGCUCAGCACGGCCCUGAAAUGGCGGAGUCCUUUGUGGUUGAUGAGCGGCAUUCCUACUCAAUUGCGUAUUAACAAAAUGAAUUUAAAAUACCAUCCGCAAGAGUGCUGUGCCAGCGCUCUUUUUUCUUGGCUACUUUUUGAAAUUGACGCGUUUAUUCAUCACGCCGCGGCCGCCAUUGAAUCACCCGAUUUGAUUCAGGCCAGCGCAUCUCUUCAAAGCCGACAUAUUCAAUCGUGAGUUGCGUGUGCUGACGAAGCAGGCCAAUGAAGGUUUCUAAGUCUGCCAGAUCAUAGUUGAUCAGGCUGUGUAAGGGAAUGGAACGUUGGCGCUGAUCCUUAGGCUGAACGUUCAUGAAAAAAUUGUAUGCCGGCGUAUAGGUUUGAUUGACCAGUGAUAGCCAGUAACGUGUUUGACGGCGUCGUUUGAAAAGGGGGGUUAAUCGCGCCAUCAUUAGCUUCAAAUCUUUAGUCAUAGCUAUUGCCGCCAUUAUGUCCUCCUACUAGUGAUGCCCGUUGAAUCGCCGUUCCGCCAUGCAUCGCACUUUUAGCGUAGAUCAAGCCCUUAAAGCCAAAACGAUCGCGAAUAGUAUCUAGCGUGCGUUCUAAAUUGGUUGCUUUAAUUUGUUGAUCAACCGGCUCAAAGAAAUUGAGUUGUUCGCCGGUAUCUGGGGCUAAGCGGCCGGUAUAAACGGCAACGUUACGAAUGACCUCACCAUGCCAGUUUUGCCGAAAAAUCAGUUGCAGUGUGGCAACAAGAUCGCCGUCCCGAUUCGUCGGUAAAAUUCGCUUAGUUUGGUGAAACCCGCCGCGUCCGUCUUUUUCACUUUCAGCAUAGGAAAAGCCGAUACCUAGGGAAAUUUCACCAGCUCGUUUGUGAUGAUGCCGCAACCGUGCGGCAACCUGUUCGCCGAUUUCUUUAAUAACGAUUUCGAUUUCAACUUGAUUGCUAUAAUCGCGCGGCAGAACCUGUGAGUUGCCAAUGCUUGGUUCGCGGGUGAUGACGCGUUCGCUGAUUUUUGUGCGGUCAAUGCCCCAUGCUAGCGCAAAUAACUGCGUGCCAAUGAUGCCCAGUUCUUGCUUUAAGGCAUACGGAUUUGCGUGAGCAAGUUGUUUCAUUGUCGUAAUGCCCAUACGUGCGAGAUGCGCUGCUGUUCGUUGACCGAUACUCCAAACGUCUGUCAUAUUGGUGAUCUGCCAAAUGGUAUCUGGUACAGUUUGAUAGGAGAUUUGACCAAUUAAAUUAGGAUCAUGUUUUGCAUAAACAUCCAGCACAAUUUUGGCUUGAAGCGGAUUGUCACCGAUCCCGACUGUUGUGUAGAGACCAAGUCGAUGCCGAAUAGUAUGUUGAAUUAAUUGCGCAACUGCACGUGGUGUUUUGCCAAAGAGUCGCCAUGUGUGCGUUAAAUCGAGAAUGGAUUCAUCAAUGGAAUAAGGCCACAAGUCUUCAUUGGCAACAAACUCACGAAAAAUAUCAUUGAUGGCCAGAUUCUUUUUGAUGUAAAGAUUCAUGCGUGGCGGCACCACGAUCAGAUGCUUAUCCACAGGUAAGUCCCGUUGACGGCUAACGUUACUUUUAAGGCCAUAUAUUUUUUUGGCCAUUGGCGAAGUUGCCAAGAUGAGGCCGCCAUUUGUAUUCUCUUGUUCGGACAUGACCACGAGAAGGGUUCUUAAAGGAUUCAGCCCGCGUUCAAUGCUUUCAACUGAAGCGUAAAAGGAUUUAUUGUCAAUCAGGAAAACCGUUCGAUGCGGUUCGUGGGAAUAAUCGUAGGCCAUCAAAAUCACCUCUGCAAUUAUUAUACGAACAUACGUUUGUAUAAGCAAGCAUAACGUGAUUUCAGCCCAGAAAAAAACCGCUGCGUCAAAAAACGCAACGGUUUGAUUGAAUCGACGUUAAGCAAUUGUUUCGGUUAGCGCAUGCAACCGCCGAUAUGGCUGCCCCAUGAAGAGACGUUGGACAUCAUAUUGCUGUGGAAGAAGCCCAUUCCCAUGCCACUGAAGGCCUCUAGGACAAAGAAGGCUGCAAAAAUUGCCGCGAUUACGAUCAAGGUGACCAUCAAUGGCCGCCAUUUUUCAGAAUGUAACAUAGCAACGACCUCCUAACAACUAAAAACACAUGACAGCAUGUAGUAUAACACCGUUAGAUGAAGGAAUUG